GUGGGGAAUAUUGGUCAAUGGGGGAAACCCUGAACCAGCAACGCCGCGUGAAGGAAGAAGGCUUUCGGGUUGUAAACUUCUUUGACAGGGGACGAAAGCAAUGACGGUACCCUGAAAACAAGCCACGGCUAACUACGUGCCAGCAGCCGCGGUAAUACGUAGGUGGCGAGCGUUGUCCGGAUUUACUGGGUGUAAAGGGCGUGUAGGCGGGGCGGUAAGUCAGAUGUGAAAUGUAGGGGCUCAACCCCUGAAUUGCAUUUGAAACUAUCGUUCUUGAGUGAUGGAGAGGCAGGCGGAAUUCCGUGUGUAGCGGUGAAAUGCGUAGAUAUACGGAGGAACACCAGUGGCGAAGGCGGCCUGCUGGACAUUAACUGACGCUGAGGCGCGAAAGCGUGGGGAGCAAACAGGAUUAGAAACCCGUGUAGUCC
This 428-nucleotide ribosomal RNA is filed under the name uncultured bacterium. RNAcentral describes it as "partial 16S ribosomal RNA". It matches the Rfam family "Bacterial small subunit ribosomal RNA", at positions 354 to 796 of the family's 1533-position model. The record is from RNAcentral.